This 1115-nucleotide long non-coding RNA is filed under the name Strongylocentrotus purpuratus (purple sea urchin). Its description in RNAcentral is "uncharacterized LOC115922758". Lineage: Eukaryota; Metazoa; Echinodermata; Echinoidea; Camarodonta; Strongylocentrotidae. The record is from RNAcentral.
GCGUGUUUUAAACUGACUGACGAGUUGACUGCUUGAUGACGUGACUUCGAGAUUUCAAAUAAUCUGUUAGACUGCGACACCGAGGCAACUAUGUGAAAGCGCAAAAACAUCGCCAGGAAGGCAGAGGACACGUCAAACCUGGUAUCGGAAGAUGAUGCCGUGUAGAAGCGAAAGAGACAUCUUCCCCAGAGAUUAAGCAAAUCUUCCCCAGAGAUUAAGCAAAUCUUCUAGUGAUUCCGGAAGUGACGCUGAUCUUGAAUCAAGAAAACAACAUGUACGCGGAGGAACGACUAAGGCUGUGGCAGCAGAGAUACCAAUGCCGAAACUGAAUGCGAAGUCCAAGUCCACAUCGCAUUUUUCAGUUCCAACCCACAACUCCAGCAAGGGCUCGGGCUUCGGAAAGCAAUUUUCAAGUGCAGGUACUGUGUAGUGUGUACGCUGCAGAGGCUGGAGGAAGGGCAGCAGCAGCUGACGCAGUUGGUACAAAAACUGUUUUUGUCCAAAUCGGGAGCGGCCGUUGAUGUGGAAGACCUGAGGGAGCCGUUUACCGAACCAGUGAACACCACAUUUUCAUUCAAGGUAGAUUAAGAUACCUUCAUUCAGGGGCAAUGCAAAAAAUCCUAAAACUCAUACUUAAACCAAAUUUUGACCAUUUCAGCUAAUAAUGGAGAAACUUUAUCAGCGACAUAACAGGUUUGUUGGUGCAUCUUUUUGGAUUGAAUUGCCAACAUCUUGUUGAGAAUGCAAGACAAAGUUGUAUAGGUCUGUAAAUGUACACCUUUUUGUAAGGAUGCUGAAACCAAUGUGUGUGCUGCCAAACUCUCUUAUAACCUUGUCUUCUAUAUUCAUAGACCCUUAAAUUUGAGUAUUCAUAUUUGCCUGUUAAUAAUUCAUAUCAACUCAUUUCUAUCAGUUUAUUGCAAAUAGCUUUUGUAGAUUGUUCAUGUGUUUUGUGUUGAUUUUAUAUUUGAAGUAAGAUGCAAGGCUUCUGGGAAAUCUUGACCUGCCCACUAAAUCUUUGGUCGAUCAAAAGGACAAUUUUUUACUCGGAUUUAAAGGGGAAAUCUACCCUAGAAAUUUCACUGCUUCAAUCAAAGGAGACAAAUUUGAACAAA